This 253-nucleotide ribosomal RNA is filed under the name uncultured bacterium. RNAcentral's name for it is "partial 16S ribosomal RNA". It matches the Rfam family "Bacterial small subunit ribosomal RNA", at positions 524 to 776 of the family's 1533-position model. The record is from RNAcentral.
UACGUAGGGAGCAAGCGUUGUCCGGAAUCAUUGGGCGUAAAGAGCGUGUAGGCGGUCCGGUAAGUCCGUUGUGAAAGUCGAGGGCUCAACCCUCGAAUGCCGGCGGAUACUGUCGGACUAGAGUCCGGAAGAGGCGAGUGGAAUUCCUGGUGUAGCGGUGAAAUGCGCAGAUAUCAGGAGGAACACCGAUGGCGAAGGCAGCUCGCUGGGACGGUACUGACGCUGAGGCGCGAAAGCUAGGGGAGCAAACGGG